RNAcentral lists this ribosomal RNA (323 nucleotides) under uncultured Chloroflexota bacterium. Its description in RNAcentral is "bacterial SSU rRNA". It matches the Rfam family "Bacterial small subunit ribosomal RNA", at positions 28 to 351 of the family's 1533-position model. Lineage: Bacteria; Bacillati; Chloroflexota. The record is from RNAcentral.
GAUAAACGUUAGCGGUGUGCUUUAUGCAUGCAAGUCGUACGGGACUAUAGUUUUCGGAUUAUAGUCUAGUGGCAAAUGGCUGAGUAAUACAUAAGUAACCUGCCUGCGAGUGGUGGAUAACUUGCCGAAAGGCAAGCUAAUACAGCAUACGGUAAUCAGGGAUCUCCUGAUUAUUAAAGCCGCAAGGCGCUUGUAGUGGGGCUUAUGCCUGAUUAGCUUGUUGGUGAGGUAACGGCCCACCAAGGCUUUGAUCAGUAGCUGGUCUGAGAGGAUGAGCAGCCAGAUGGGGACUGAGAUACGGCCCCAACUCCUACGGGAGGCUG